GGGAUAGUAGGUAACAGGCUUUUGCA
This 26-nucleotide non-coding RNA is filed under the name Cricetulus griseus (Chinese hamster). The record is from RNAcentral. Lineage: Eukaryota; Metazoa; Chordata; Mammalia; Rodentia; Cricetidae.